RNAcentral lists this ribosomal RNA (1479 nucleotides) under uncultured bacterium. RNAcentral's name for it is "bacterial SSU rRNA". It matches the Rfam family "Bacterial small subunit ribosomal RNA". The record is from RNAcentral.
AUUAGAGUUUGAUCAUGGCUCAGAACGAACGCUGGCGGCGUGGAUAAGACAUGCAAGUCGAACGAGAGAAUUGCUAGCUUGCUAAUAAUUCUCUAGUGGCGCACGGGUGAGUAACACGUGAGUAACCUGCCCCCGAGAGCGGGAUAGCCCUGGGAAACUGGGAUUAAUACCGCAUAGUAUCGAAAGAUUAAAGCAGCAAUGCGCUUGGGGAUGGGCUCGCGGCCUAUUAGUUAGUUGGUGAGGUAACGGCUCACCAAGGCGAUGACGGGUAGCCGGUCUGAGAGGAUGUCCGGCCACACUGGAACUGAGACACGGUCCAGACACCUACGGGUGGCAGCAGUCGAGAAUCAUUCACAAUGGGGGAAACCCUGAUGGUGCGACGCCGCGUGGGGGAAUGAAGGUCUUCGGAUUGUAAACCCCUGUCAUGUGGGAGCAAAUUAAAAAGAUAGUACCACAAGAGGAAGAGACGGCUAACUCUGUGCCAGCAGCCGCGGUAAUACAGAGGUCUCAAGCGUUGUUCGGAAUCACUGGGCGUAAAGCGUGCGUAGGCUGUUUCGUAAGUCGUGUGUGAAAGGCGCGGGCUCAACCCGCGGACGGCACAUGAUACUGCGAGACUAGAGUAAUGGAGGGGGAACCGGAAUUCUCGGUGUAGCAGUGAAAUGCGUAGAUAUCGAGAGGAACACUCGUGGCGAAGGCGGGUUCCUGGACAUUAACUGACGCUGAGGCACGAAGGCCAGGGGAGCGAAAGGGAUUAGAUACCCCUGUAGUCCUGGCAGUAAACGGUGCACGCUUGGUGUGCGGGGAAUCGACCCCCUGCGUGCCGGAGCUAACGCGUUAAGCGUGCCGCCUGGGGAGUACGGUCGCAAGAUUAAAACUCAAAGAAAUUGACGGGGACCCGCACAAGCGGUGGAGUAUGUGGCUUAAUUCGAUGCAACGCGAAGAACCUUACCUGGGCUUGACAUGUAAUGAACAACAUGUGAAAGCAUGCGACUCUUCGGAGGCGUUACACAGGUGCUGCAUGGCCGUCGUCAGCUCGUGUCGUGAGAUGUUUGGUUAAGUCCAGCAACGAGCGCAACCCCUGUUGCCAGUUACCAGCACGUGAAGGUGGGGACUCUGGCGAGACUGCCCAGAUCAACUGGGAGGAAGGUGGGGACGACGUCAGGUCAGUAUGGCCCUUAUGCCCAGGGCUGCACACGUACUACAAUGCCCAGUACAGAGGGGGCCGAAGCCGCGAGGCGGAGGAAAUCCUGAAAACUGGGCCCAGUUCGGACUGUAGGCUGCAACCCGCCUACACGAAGCCGGAAUCGCUAGUAAUGGCGCAUCAGCUACGGCGCCGUGAAUACGUUCCCGGGUCUUGUACACACCGCCCGUCACAUCAUGGAAGCCGGUCGCACCCGAAGUAUCUGAAGCCAACCGCAAGGAGGCAGGGUCCUAAGGUGAGACUGGUAACUGGGAUGAAGUCGUAACAAGGUAACCAAU